Molecule: non-coding RNA, 76 nt
Organism: Rhineura floridana
Lineage: Eukaryota; Metazoa; Chordata; Lepidosauria; Squamata; Rhineuridae
Source: the annotation of a RefSeq genome assembly
GGAGAGGGUGUGGCUCAGUGGGCAGAGCACCUGCUUGGCACGCAGGUGGUUCCAGGUUCAAUCCCCGGGAUCUCCA